Long non-coding RNA from Fukomys damarensis (Damara mole-rat), 815 nucleotides. RefSeq lists it as uncharacterized. Lineage: Eukaryota; Metazoa; Chordata; Mammalia; Rodentia; Bathyergidae. The record is from RefSeq and is a predicted model, not a curated record. The transcript has 3 exons.
CUAAUCACAGAAGUGUUCAUUAGACUCUUUCCAGAAGGUUAAAAGCGACGAUUCACUUAGGUUUCAUCAAGUCAUGGACCGUGGUUACAAGGAAUCACAGGGAGAAGUUACGAUUUUGAUGGAUACAGACCUACCUGAAAAUGAACACUCAAGUACUUAACAGUUAAUAAAUUCCUGAGAGUUCCUGAUUUGGAAAGAAUCCUGACACAUUCAUUAACCAUAGAAGCAUCCAAGGCCCUGGCUACAUUAUCUUAUUAAACGAGUGGUUGUUUUUAUGGCCCAUCAUAAAAGAACACAAGAUCUACUUCCUGUCAUCAAACAGCCACAAUGAUUUGAGAAAACAGAUCCAGUAAGAUGACCUCAAAUUUUGCUUCUGCCAAAUGGGGAAUGUUUGUGACAACUUUUAAGACUUCUGCAAAGAUGCAACACCUCCAACUAUUUUCACUGAGGUACAAACAACUCUAAAAUAACUUUAUAGUGAGAAGAAUCUGCAAGGUGGACCAGUCUGUGUCACAUGCUCCAUCACAGGACAAGCUAUGAUAUACCUCGAGGCAUGUAAGGCAUUGGAAAACUAAAGAACAUCCGAGGAGCACAAUGAAUGUACAUUCCACUUGCUUGGCUUGACUGCUGCUCCUUCCUCCACUGCCUUCCUGCCAGUAUCAUCUCUGCUACCACCGAAAUGCUCUUCUUUAAAUGAUUGCUAAUUAUAACCACUAGAUGUUUCCUUCCUGUGUACAGAUGAAGUCCAAACAUUUUAGCAUUGCACAUAAUAGCAUCUGUGUUCUGAUUUCUCUCUGUCUCUCUGGAUGACAACC